UGAGCUUACGCAGGGGUGAGGGC
Molecule: non-coding RNA, 23 nt
Filed under: Mus musculus (house mouse)
Lineage: Eukaryota; Metazoa; Chordata; Mammalia; Rodentia; Muridae
Source: RNAcentral